This 1026-nucleotide long non-coding RNA is filed under the name Anser cygnoides (Swan goose). Its description in RNAcentral is "lncRNA (ENSACDG00005009441.1)". The record is from RNAcentral. Lineage: Eukaryota; Metazoa; Chordata; Aves; Anseriformes; Anatidae.
AUGGCCACAGAGGCUGACGUCACCUGCCCUGUGUGCCAGGGGACCCCAAAGGAGCCCAGCAUCGUCAUCCCCUGUCGGCACCAAUUCUGCUUGGGAUGCAUCAUGCGCUGGGCCAACAGAAAUGCCACCUGCCCCCUCUGCAGGCAGGACAUCACCUCCGUACGCUACUCCAUUUGGUCAGAAGAUGACUUUAUGGAGGUGCAGUUCAUCCACCGCGCAGAGCCACAAAAUGACAGCCACCAGGAUGAGCAGGGGGCUCAUCCCCAGACGACCGUGAGGGGCCUCCUGCCUGAGCAAUGGGCGGCCCUUUUCAGGGAACACCCAACCAUCCUCAGUCCAUUGCGGCCCUGGGUGCGCCAGCAAGCCAGGGAGUUGUCUGGGGCUGCCUGGUGGGAGCAGGAUGUGCUGGAGGCCAACGUUGUCGCUUGGCUGUGUCUCUUCGGGCUGCAUGAGCAGGCCUUGGUCGGGGUGCUGCAGAGGUUCCUGCAGGGCCAUGCAACGAGCUUCGUGCAGCAGCUCAUUGAUAGAACUGUGGAGACGUGCAUCGACGACUUCCUCGAGAGGCUUGGGCUCCUGGAAUCCCCUCCUGCCAGCCAGCAGCAGAAUGGCCCUGAGGUGGACCUCGAGGGCUCGCAGGACAGCAGGGAGCCAGAAGACAGCCCUGUGGCCACCCCCAGCCCUGCUACCUCCUCCCGGGACACUUCUGUGACCGUCGUGCUCUCCUCUAGCAGCCCAGAGUCUUCUGACACCGAGGAGCUCCCCAGCACCUCCAGUGCUGCCCUGCGUGGGGAUCCUGGCCACCCAACUACCACACUCAUCCUCACAGAGCAGGAGGAGCCCUUCACAGAGCCGGGACCGGUGGCAGAAGAAGAUGCCGUGGUGCAGGGCUGCAGCCAUGGGCCCUUCCCUCCUGGCCAGGGCAGGGACCGCUCGCGUAGGAGGCCCCGUCGCCCCCCGAAAAGGAGGGCCAACAGCAACACAGACUCUCCCCAGCCCUGCAAGAGGCCACCCCCCCGGCACCUUUAG